Molecule: non-coding RNA, 216 nt
Organism: Cinara cedri
Lineage: Eukaryota; Metazoa; Arthropoda; Insecta; Hemiptera; Aphididae
Source: the annotation of a GenBank genome assembly
ACAAUACAACCGUUCGUACACGGUGAAAUUGUCGGCAGGUAUAUUUUGUUUUCCGAGAGUAAUAAUUAUGCAAAUCGUCCGUGUAAUAAAAUUACAAUAAUAACAAUGAUCGUGCGCGCCGAGCGUUUUCGCCACCGGAACAGUUUCUUCACACACACACACACACACACACGCCAAAUUUGCAUAUAAUAAAACAAAGUCCGCACUGUUAUUACG